AUUGAACGCUGGCGGCGUGCUUAACACAUGCAAGUCGAUCGGUAACAGGUGUAGCAAUACAUGCUGACGAGAGGCGGACGGGUGAGUAAUGCUUGGGAAUCUGCCUAUUAGUGGGGGACAACCCGGGGAACUCGGGCUAAUACCGCAUACGCUCUACGGAGGAAAGCCGGGGACCGCAAGGCCUGGCGCUAAUAGAUGAGCCCAAGUCGGAUUAGCUAGUUGGUAGGUAACGGCCUACCAAGGCGACAAUCCGUAGCUGGUCUGAGAGGACGACCAGCCACACCGGAACUGAGACACGGUCCGGACUCCUACGGGAGGCAGCAGUGGGGAAUAUUGGACAAUGGGGGCAACCCUGAUCCAGCGACGCCGCGUGGGUGAAGAAGGCCUGCGGGUUGUAAAGCCCUUUCGGGUGGGAAGAAAAGUCUCGACCUAAUACGUCGGGACCUUGACGUAACCCA
This 458-nucleotide ribosomal RNA is filed under the name uncultured bacterium. Its description in RNAcentral is "bacterial SSU rRNA". It matches the Rfam family "Bacterial small subunit ribosomal RNA", at positions 29 to 481 of the family's 1533-position model. The record is from RNAcentral.